UUACAAAGUACUAAAUGGCUGAAUUAAAUGACAUCUACACUGUCGAUUGAUCUUAUGUAUCAAUGUAAAUAGACAGUUAGAAAAGACAUUCGACACGAGAUCGCAUUGCUGCUAUGAAUUGCAAGUGGAAUGGAUUAUUUAACGUUGGGGAGGACUUCGAUGAUGAGGAUCUACUUGAGAUGGACUGGUCUGCUCCAUCAGUGUCUGCUAGCACACUGUCCUCUGCAGCACAGUCCUGUUUCCUCCGUUCAACUGCAACAUCAACUCCUGCUGCCCCCUAUGGUCAGAAUAACUCACAUCAACCAACCACAGAAGGCAUAUUUGCCCAUAGGGGCCUGUCGAAUGGCCCAGGGUCAGAUAAUUCAACACCGAACAGUGUAGGGCAGUCUCCUGCUUUGGGUUUGAGACAGCUCUCUACAUCUAAACCAUUGCACUCAUUCCCUCUUCCCCUCUCCACCUUCC
This is a long non-coding RNA of Oncorhynchus gorbuscha (pink salmon), 462 nucleotides long. RefSeq lists it as uncharacterized. NCBI's taxonomy places the organism in Eukaryota, Metazoa, Chordata, Actinopteri, Salmoniformes, Salmonidae. The transcript is spliced from 3 exons. The record is from RefSeq and is a predicted model, not a curated record.